Molecule: transfer RNA, 74 nt
Filed under: Candidatus Kaiserbacteria bacterium
Lineage: Bacteria; Candidatus Kaiseribacteriota
Also listed under: 1 other name
Description: tRNA-Gly
Rfam family: tRNA
About the family: Transfer RNA (tRNA) molecules are approximately 80 nucleotides in length. Their secondary structure includes four short double-helical elements and three loops (D, anti-codon, and T loops). Further hydrogen bonds mediate the characteristic L-shaped molecular structure. tRNAs have two regions of fundamental functional importance: the anti-codon, which is responsible for specific mRNA codon recognition, and the 3' end, to which the tRNAs corresponding amino acid is attached (by aminoacyl-tRNA synthetases). tRNAs cope with the degeneracy of the genetic code in two manners: having more than one tRNA (with a specific anti-codon) for a particular amino acid; and 'wobble' base-pairing, i.e. permitting non-standard base-pairing at the 3rd anti-codon position.
Source: RNAcentral
GCGGGUAUAGUUUAGUGGUAGAACGUCUGGUUGCCAAUCAGAAGACGGGGUUUCGAUUACCCCUACCCGCACCA